CUCAUCUUCACCUUUCUCUUCUCCAUCCUGGUCACAGGGACAACCUGGCCCAUCCUAGGAGAAGGAAGGGCAUUCCAGAUGGAAAUAACCUUAAGAGUCCACCAACAACCAGCACACCACCACAGCUGCUUCUCAGGGAGGACACGUUACUCAGCUGGGCAGCAAUGCAGAGAGUGGCUGAGAUACUAGGAGAAUAAGCUGUAGCCUGACUGGAAAAUCUUGAAGGCAAUGAUCAGAUUUUAUUUUUGAAGGCAAGGGAAAUCCCUCGCCAUUAUUUGGUGUCUUUUCUCAUUAUAAAAUACAUAUUUAGUGUUGAAAUUAAUCACCCAUAAUCUUAUCAUCUUGAGAAAACCAGUGUAAAUAUUUUGAUGUUUUUCCUUUUAG
RNAcentral lists this long non-coding RNA (384 nucleotides) under Equus caballus (horse). RNAcentral's name for it is "lncRNA (ENSECAG00000043330.2)". Lineage: Eukaryota; Metazoa; Chordata; Mammalia; Perissodactyla; Equidae. The record is from RNAcentral.